This 931-nucleotide ribosomal RNA is filed under the name marine sponge bacterium FILTER4C144m. RNAcentral's name for it is "bacterial SSU rRNA". It matches the Rfam family "Bacterial small subunit ribosomal RNA", at positions 56 to 978 of the family's 1533-position model. The record is from RNAcentral.
UGCAAGUCGAGGGGUAACAGGGAGUGCUUGCACUCCGCUGACGACCGGCGCACGGGUGCGCACCGCGUAUGGAACCUGCCUCUUGCAGGGGAAUAGCCCAGGGAAACUUGGAUUAAUGCCCCAUAGUACCUAUCCACGGCAUUGUGGAUUGGUUAAAGCCUUCGGGCGGCGAGAGAUGGCCAUGCGUCCCAUUAGCUAGAUGGUAAGGUAACGGCUUACCAUGGCUACGAUGGGUAGGGGCCCUGAGAGGGGGAUCCCCCACACUGGUACUGAGACACGGACCAGACUCCUACGGGAGGCAGCAGUGAGGAAUAUUGGACAAUGGGCGGGAGCCUGAUCCAGCCAUGCCGCGUGCAGGAAGACGGCCCUAUGGGUUGUAAACUGCUUUUAUACGGGAAGAAAAACAGCUACGUGUAGUUGACUGACGGUACCGUAAGAAUAAGGACCGGCUAACUCCGUGCCAGCAGCCGCGGUAAUACGGAGGGUCCGAGCGUUAUCCGGAAUUAUUGGGUUUAAAGGGUCCGUAGGCGGGCCAUUAAGUCAGUGGUGAAAGUCUGCAGCUCAACUGUAGAAUUGCCUUUGAUACUGGUGGUCUUGAGUUAUGGUGAAGUGGCUGGAAUAUGUAGUGUAGCGGUGAAAUGCAUAGAUAUUACAUAGAACACCGAUUGCGAAGGCAGGUCACUAACCGUAUACUGACGCUGAUGGACGAAAGCGUGGGGAGCGAACAGGAUUAGAUACCCUGGUAGUCCACGCCGUAAACGAUGGAUACUAGCUGUCCGGGUCCUUGAGGCCUGGGCGGCCAAGCGAAAGUGAUAAGUAUCCCACCUGGGGAGUACGUUCGCAAGAAUGAAACUCAAAGGAAUUGACGGGGGCCCGCACAAGCGGUGGAGCAUGUGGUUUAAUUCGAUGAUACGCGAGGAACCUUACCAGG